CGCCCUUGGUGCACCAGGCGCGAAAACUUUACAAUGCGGGAAACCGUGAUAAGGGAACUCCGAGUGCCCGUAAAAUCGGGCUGUCCAUCAGUUUAAAUAACUGGUGAAGAAAGGGCCGGGCAAGACCGGUGCCAGCCGCCGCGGUAAUACCGGCGGCUCGAGUGGUGGCCACUAUUACUGGGCUUAAAGCGUUCGUAGCUGGUUUGUUAAGUCCCUGGGGAAAUCUUCCGGCUUAACCGGAAGGCGUCUCAGGGAUACUGGCAGACUAGGGACCGGGAGAGGUGAGGGGUACUCCAGGGGUAGGAGUGAAAUCCUGUAAUCCUUGGGGGACCACCUGUGGCGAAGGCGCCUCACCAGAACGGCUCCGACAGUGAGGGACGAAAGCUGGGGGAGCAAACCGGAUUAGAUACCCGGGUAGUCCCAGCCGUAAACGAUGCGCGUUAGGUGUAUCGGUGACCACGAGUCACCGAGGUGCCGAAGAGAAAUCGUGAAACGUGCCGCCUGGGAAGUACGGUCGCAAGGCUGAAACUUAAAGGAAUUGGCGGGGGAGCAC
Molecule: ribosomal RNA, 553 nt
Filed under: uncultured archaeon
Lineage: Archaea
Description: bacterial SSU rRNA
Rfam family: Archaeal small subunit ribosomal RNA
Source: RNAcentral